RNAcentral lists this transfer RNA (638 nucleotides) under Flavobacterium columnare. Its description in RNAcentral is "partial 16S-23S ribosomal RNA intergenic spacer". The stretch from base 388 to 461 matches the Rfam family "tRNA". Lineage: Bacteria; Pseudomonadati; Bacteroidota; Flavobacteriia; Flavobacteriales; Flavobacteriaceae. The record is from RNAcentral.
UGGAACACCUCCUUUCUAGAGCCUUAGUGUUAGUUGAUUUAUCAACACGCUGAGGAAAAAAGAUGUUCAUUUAAAAAGUUCUGAAUCGAAAGAUUCAAUUACUCUUGCUGUUAGUUCAAAUAAUAAAUUUUAAGUAAAACAGAGUCUCGUAGCUCAGCUGGUUAGAGUACUACACUGAUAAUGUAGGGGUCGGCAGUUCGAGUCUGCCCGGGACUACUUUUUAAAUUGUUAAUUAUAAAUYAUGAAUUGUAAAUUAUAAGAAACAAAUAAAUUAAAAAGACUGUAUGCUUAGAAAAAGGAAAUUCUGGAAGUUGGAAUUCACCAAAAGAAAUUAGAGAAGAAUUAGAAAUCUAAAAUCUGAAUUCUACAAUCUAAGAUUUAAGAAAUGGGGGAUUAGCUCAGCUGGCUAGAGCGCCUGCCUUGCACGCAGGAGGUCAACGGUUCGACUCCGUUAUUCUCCACUGGUUGUCUAUAAAGAUAGACAAUAAAAGUUCAUUGACAUAUUGAGAUAAGAAAAUAAUAAAAAGUAGAAAGCGUUUUUUGUUAUAGUAGAGAUACGAAUAAUAAAAGACAAAAAAAACGGUCAUAUUAAUUUAUGAUUGGUACAAUAAGCAAAAUAAGGGCGUAUGGGGGAUGCC